AAAAACAGGAGCGGAGCAGCGGGAACCAUCAGUUGUUGAACUGCGUACUGCAAUGUCGGAUGUGAUGGAAUCGAACCCACUGCCAGCGUAUAGAAAAGCCGGUUUCCCUCAAAAAAACAAAGUUCCCCCACACGCGAGGGAAGAGAAAAAUGCACUUACUCCAUCUUCAGAUCAAGACCUUCGUUGUCUCGCAACAGCACCAGCAGAGAGUAGGCAAACUAAAUAUUCGAAUCAGCAGGCGGACCAAAUUUAUUGAUGAUGGAGCAGCGCAAAUAAAACUCUACAACCUAUUUUUACGGUGCGUUUCUUUGGAAUAACGCAGGAGGUGGAGCCAGCGCUUGGUCAAUUCAGGUUAUGUACUUCCAAAGGCGUGUCCGACAAACUGGUCACCGAAAAUGUGAAGCAUUGAGAAAUUCUGGAUUACCCCCUUUUCAACAGCGGAUGUUGUUCGGUGCUUUCCAGUGUGUUGCAGAUCUGGCAUAGAACAUGCAAUCGAUUGAUUACAUCCGGCGGCACCUGUCUCCAUCCGAUUUUCCUCCAUCUUAGGAAACCCGUUUUCCCGAAGCUACCGAUAUUUCAGUUUCCCGCCAACAAACAUGAAGAAACGAGUCAAAAACAAAAAAAAAUUUAUAUAUACACCUCUGAUUGGAUAUAAAUAAAAAUUCAAUAAUUAA
Molecule: long non-coding RNA, 674 nt
Organism: Armigeres subalbatus
Lineage: Eukaryota; Metazoa; Arthropoda; Insecta; Diptera; Culicidae
Exons: 3
Source: RefSeq, a predicted model, not a curated record